GACGAACGCUGGCGGCGUGCUUAACACAUGCAAGUCGAACGGAAAGGCCCUGCUUUUGUGGGGUGCUCGAGUGGCGAACGGGUGAGUAACACGUGAGUAACCUGCCCUUGACUUUGGGAUAACUUCAGGAAACUGGGGCUAAUACCGGAUAGGAGCUCCUGCUGCAUGGUGGGGGUUGGAAAGUUUCGGCGGUUGGGGAUGGACUCGCGGCUUAUCAGCUUGUUGGUGGGGUAGUGGCUUACCAAGGCUUUGACGGGUAGCCGGCCUGAGAGGGUGACCGGCCACAUUGGGACUGAGAUACGGCCCAGACUCCUACGGGAGGCAGCAGUGGGGAAUAUUGCACAAUGGGCGGAAGCCUGAUGCAGCAACGCCGCGUGCGGGAUGACGGCCUUCGGGUUGUAAACCGCUUUCGCCUGUGACGAAGCGUGAGUGACGGUAAUGGGUAAAGAAGCACCGGCUAACUACGUGCCAGCAGCCGCGGUGAUACGUAGGGUGCGAGCGUUGUCCGGAUUUAUUGGGCGUAAAGGGCUCGUAGGUGGUUGAUCGCGUCGGAAGUGUAAUCUUGGGGCUUAACCCUGAGCGUGCUUUCGAUACGGGUUGACUUGAGGAAGGUAGGGGAGAAUGGAAUUCCUGGUGGAGCGGUGGAAUGCGCAGAUAUCAGGAGGAACACCAGUGGCGAAGGCGGUUCUCUGGGCCUUUCCUGACGCUGAGGAGCGAAAGCGUGGGGAGCGAACAGGCUUAGAUACCCUGGUAGUCCACGCUGUAAACGGUGGGUACUAGGUGUGGGGUCCAUUCCACGGGUUCCGUGCCGUAGCUAACGCUUUAAGUACCCCGCCUGGGGAGUACGGCCGCAAGGCUGAAACUCAAAGGAAUUGACGGGGCCCCGCACAGGCGGCGGAGCAUGCGGAUUAAUUCGAUGCAACGCGUAGAACCUUACCUGGGUUUGACAUGGAUCGGGAGUGCUCAGAGAUGGGUGUGCCUCUUUUGGGGUCGGUUCACAGGUGGUGCAUGGCUGUCGUCAGCUCGUGUCGUGAGAUGUUGGGUUAAGUCCCGCAACGAGCGCAACCCUUGUUCACUGUUGCCAGCACGUUAUGGUGGGGACUCAGUGGAGACCGCCGGGGUCAACUCGGAGGAAGGUGGGGGUGACGUCAAGUCAUCAUGCCCCUUAUGUCCAGGGCUUCACGCAUGCUACAAUGGCUGGUACAGAGAGUGGCGAGCCUGUGAGGGUGAGCGAAUCUCGGAAAGCCGGUCUCAGUUCGGAUUGGGGUCUGCAACUCGACCUCAUGAAGUCGGAGUCGCUAGUAAUCGCAGAUCAGCAACGCUGCGGUGAAUACGUUCCCGGGGCU
Molecule: ribosomal RNA, 1346 nt
Filed under: uncultured bacterium
Lineage: Bacteria
Description: partial 16S ribosomal RNA
Rfam family: Bacterial small subunit ribosomal RNA
Source: RNAcentral